Molecule: ribosomal RNA, 419 nt
Filed under: uncultured eukaryote
Lineage: Eukaryota
Description: bacterial SSU rRNA
Rfam family: Eukaryotic small subunit ribosomal RNA
Source: RNAcentral
CAAUAGCGUAUAUUAAAGUUGUUGCAGUUAAAAAGCUCGUAGUUGGAUUUCUGGUGGGAGCACGGGUCGGCCUUCACGGGUUGUACUGUUGUUGCGUCCUGCCGUUUCGGAGGGAAUGGUCAUGUUAUUAGGUUAGCGUGAUCGGAAACUCUGUCGUUUACUGUGAAAAAAUUAGAGUGUUCAAAGCAGGCCUUCGCUGUGAAUACAUUAGCAUGGAAUAAUAAGAUAGGACUGUAGUGCUAUUUUGUUGGUUUGCGUACUAUGGUAAUGAUUAAUAGGGACAAUUGGGGGCAUUUGUAUCAACACGUCAGAGGUGGAAUUCUUGGAUUGUGUUGCGACAAACUACUGCGAAAGCAUUUGCCAAGGAUGUUUUCAUUGAUCAAGAACGAAAGUAGGGAUCGAAGAUGAUUAGAUACCAU